RNAcentral lists this ribosomal RNA (500 nucleotides) under uncultured bacterium. Its description in RNAcentral is "partial 16S ribosomal RNA". It matches the Rfam family "Bacterial small subunit ribosomal RNA", at positions 30 to 523 of the family's 1533-position model. The record is from RNAcentral.
AUUGAACGCUGGCGGAAUGCUUUACACAUGCAAGUCGAACGGCAGCACGGACUUCGGUCUGGUGGCGAGUGGCGAACGGGUGAGUAAUGUACCGGAACGUGCCCAGUCGUGGGGGAUAACGUAGUGAAAAUUACGCUAAUACCGCAUACGAUCUAUGGAUGAAAGCGGGGGAUCGCAAGACCUCGCGCGAUUGGAGCGGCCGAUAUCAGAUUAGGUAGUUGGUGGGGUAAAGGCCCACCAAGCCAACGAUCUGUAGCUGGUCUGAGAGGACGACCGGCCACACUGGAACUGAGACACGGUCCAGACUCCUACGGGAGGCAGCAGUGGGGAAUUGUGGACAAUGGGCGCAAGCCUGAUCCAGCCAUUCCGCGUGCAGGAUGAAGGCCCUCGGGUUGUAAACUGCUUUUGUACAGAACGAAAAGGUUUCUACUAAUACUAGGAGCUCAUGACGGUACUGUAAGAAUAAGCACCGGCUAACUUCGUGCCAGCAGCCGCGGUAA